CAGCCGCCGCGGUAAUACCAGCCCCGCGAGUGGUCGGGACGGUUAUUGGGCCUAAAGCGCCCGUAGCCGGCCCGGCAAGUCCCUCCUUAAAGCCUCGGGCCCAACCCGAGGACGGGGGGGAUACUGCCGGGCUAGGGGGCGGGAGAGGCCGGCGGUACUCCCGGGGUAGGGGCGAAAUCCGUUAAUCCCGGGAGGACCACCAGUGGCGAAGGCGGCCGGCUGGAACGCGCCCGACGGUGAGGGGCGAAAGCCGGGGGAGCGAACCGGAUUAGAUCCCCGGGUAGUCCCGGCUGUAAACGAUGCGGGCUAGCUGUGGGGCGGGCUUAGAGCCCGCCCAGUGGCGCAGGGAAGCCGUUAAGCCCGCCGCCUGGGGAGUACGGCCGCAAGGCUGAAACUUAAAGGAAUUGGCGGG
Molecule: ribosomal RNA, 412 nt
Filed under: uncultured microorganism
Description: bacterial SSU rRNA
Rfam family: Archaeal small subunit ribosomal RNA
Source: RNAcentral